AAGAGUCUGCCAGGCAUUUCUUCUCCCAUACAGUAAACAGUGAAAGUCCCCUCUGCAGUAGGAGAAGAAAUAUGGAUUUGGAUUCAGACAAGCAGUAUUCAGUACUGACAUUUACUAGGUGUGUGGUGUUAGAAGCAUCUGAAUUCAGUGGUUAUGAAACCAACCGAUACCAGAGGACUGGGGAAAAUCCUUUCUGAGUUGAGCCCUGCAACUGCUCACAAAUCUCAGCCAGCAUCACUCCUGCUGGCAUCUAGAAUUCACCCCUGCACCCCAGAGCACCCCGAAGGAGCAGGUCCCAGGAGAGGGUGCCUCAGCUCUGCAGGCA
Long non-coding RNA from Talpa occidentalis (Iberian mole), 325 nucleotides. RefSeq lists it as uncharacterized. The record is from RefSeq and is a predicted model, not a curated record. NCBI's taxonomy places the organism in Eukaryota, Metazoa, Chordata, Mammalia, Eulipotyphla, Talpidae. The transcript has 3 exons.